GAUGAACGCUGGCGGCAUGCCUAACACAUGCAAGUCGAUCGGUAAGGCUCUUCGGAGUACCCGAGAGGCGGACGGCUGAGUAACGCGUAGGAACACACCCUGCAGUGAGGGAUAAGACACCGAAAGGUGUUCUAAUACCGCAUACGGUCUUCGGAUUAAAGCAUUUAUGCGCUGAAGGAGUGGCCUGCGUCAUAUUAGAUAGUUGGUGAGGUAAUGGCUCACCAAGUCGAUGAUGUGUAGCUGGUCUGAGAGGAUGAUCAGCCAGACUGGAACUGAGACACGGUCCAGACUCCUACGGGAGGCAGCAGUGAGGAAUAUUUCACAAUGAGCGAAGGCUUGAUGGAGCAAUGCCGCGUGCAGGAUGAAGGCCCUCGGGUUGUAAACUGCUUUUAUAAGAGAAGAUUAUGACGGUAACUUAUGAAUAAGGGACGGCUAACUACGUG
Molecule: ribosomal RNA, 443 nt
Filed under: uncultured bacterium
Lineage: Bacteria
Description: partial 16S ribosomal RNA
Rfam family: Bacterial small subunit ribosomal RNA
Source: RNAcentral